This 484-nucleotide ribosomal RNA is filed under the name uncultured bacterium. RNAcentral's name for it is "partial 16S ribosomal RNA". It matches the Rfam family "Bacterial small subunit ribosomal RNA", at positions 30 to 507 of the family's 1533-position model. The record is from RNAcentral.
AUUGAACGCUGGCGGCAGGCCUAACACAUGCAAGUCGAGCGGAUGAAGGGAGCUUGCUCCUGGAUUCAGCGGCGGACGGGUGAGUAAUGCCUAGUAAUCUGCCUGGUAGUGGGGGAUAACGUCCGUAAACUGGCGCUAAUACCGCAUACGUCCUGCGGGAGUAAGUUUGGUCUCUUCUGACCUCACGCUCUCAUAUGUGCCUAGGUGGGAUUAGCUAGUUGUUGGGGUAAAGGCCUAACAAGGCGACGAUCCGUAACUGGUCUUAGAGGAUGAUCAGUCAAACUGGAACUGAGACACGGUCCAGAAGCCUACGGGAGGCAGCAGUGGGGAAUAAUGGACAAUGGGGGAAAGCAUGAAACAGACAAGCCGCGUGUGUGAAGAAGGUAUUCGGAUUGUAAAGCAAUUUAAGUUGGGAGGAAGGGAAGUAAGUUAAAAACUUGCUGGUUUGAAGGUACCAACAGAAAAAGCACCGGCUAACUUCGUG